UACGGGGGGAGCAAGCGUUGUUCGGAUUUACUGGGCGUAAAGGGCGCGUAGGCGGUCAGCACAAGUCAGUUGUGAAAUCUCCGGGCUUAACUCGGAAAGGUCAACUGAUACUGUGCGACUAGAGUGCGGAAGGGGCAACUGGAAUUCUCGGUGUAGCGGUGAAAUGCGUAGAUAUCGAGAGGAACACCUGCGGCGAAGGCGGGUUGCUGGGCCGACACUGACGCUGAUGCGCGAAAGCGUGGGGAGCGAUCCGG
This 254-nucleotide ribosomal RNA is filed under the name uncultured bacterium. Its description in RNAcentral is "partial 16S ribosomal RNA". It matches the Rfam family "Bacterial small subunit ribosomal RNA", at positions 524 to 776 of the family's 1533-position model. The record is from RNAcentral.